Molecule: unclassified non-coding RNA, 4641 nt
Filed under: Rhipicephalus microplus (southern cattle tick)
Lineage: Eukaryota; Metazoa; Arthropoda; Arachnida; Ixodida; Ixodidae
Description: histone-lysine N-methyltransferase SUV39H1-like, transcript variant X1
Source: RNAcentral
CGAGCGUUUCGGCUCUCAAAAGGUUGGUGCCACCCGGUGGUAGCAGACGCGGCUACCAACGCAACUUGGGACGCUGCAUUUUGUCUGCAAAGUGCUGCAUUUUCGCUGCAAAGUGCUGCAUUUUGUCUUCAAUGUCGCAGUCUGACGAGAGUGAAGUGUAUGAGGUGGAGAGAAUACUGAAGUAUCGGACCCGACGCCAAGGCAAAAGAAAGAUCGGCGAGUAUCUUAUAAGAUGGAAAAACUUUGGUCCGAGUGAAGACACCUGGGAACCUAGAAAAAACCUCGUCGGAUGUGAAGCACUCCUGAAAGAGUUUGAAGAAAACUUGGCCAAAGCAGGGGAUGUACUGGAACCGGAGCCAAGGAAUGAUGAUGGGAUAGAACUGAUGCCCGCACCUCCGCCACAGAAGUCUCCUAGACAUUUCAACAGUGUAUUGGAGGCAUCAGCGAGCAAGACGUUGGAAGCUGCGGAGAUAAUUACUCGAAGGCGUCUGCAAAUUGAACAAUGGCAGAAGGACAAAAAUGGUAGCAAGAAUGAACCCAAUGCUGAACAAGUGACUCAACGCAUGCCCCCAAGGAUUUAUUAUGUGCUGUAUCGGGUCGCCUUUCUGGGCCUUUUCAUGCUUUUCGUGAUCCUUGCUGUAUACAUCAAGGGAGGUGAUGUUUCUGGGAACAUGGAGCAGCUGUUCUCAUUAUAGAAAAUGAAUUAAGAAGAAGGAACCCUCUUGGGCUGCUUUAUGUGGAGAGCUGCUCAGAAUGGCUAGAACACUCAACCUCUACAAGGCUGCCACCUUUCGUCAAGUCUUCAACAAUGCACCAAAAGAAGUCUCCAAACAGCACGUUGGACUUGCUUCUUACAGCUAUAGCCUUCUCAAUGUGCGUAAGCAGUGCUGUCGGGAUUUUCGAAGGCAGCUUGAGGGCACCCAGACAAAGGAGAACAUUUCGCUCAAAAUGGCUGCAGGUGGUACACCAUCUGUGGCAAGAAGAGUUUUGCAGUCAUGUACGGCAGAAUGAACUCACUGGCUGCUUGGAAGGUACCUGGCAUCUGAGUGACAUGCAGCUGUUGCCUUGUACAUCAUAUCUGGAGCAUGCAUGAAGCUUGUGCACAUUGCUCACGAGGUCACUAAGGUCACGCAUAGUCCCAAUGUUCACGCUCACGAAAUCUUUCGCCUCGCGGCCUCUUCCACUUGCGGUUGUCACUCUGUCACUGCCCACAACAACGCAUUUCUUGAUUUGCAGCGCCUUAAGUUCAAACUUCAGUGUGAAAAAUGCUGUAAAUUUACUGCUGUCGUUCCCCACUGCGAUUUUCUGCCAUGAUGGUGGCAGCUUUGCACAUUCAGUUUUGUUAAACGAUGGCGCGGACAACUCGGGCAUAUAGUCUUCUACGGCAUCAGCAGUAGUUGUGCUGCAAGAAGCUUGUUUGAAUUGCGGUGAAUUGCGGUCAAGGUUAGUGGCCCCAUUGCUUCCUUGUUUUCAUGCUUUCAUUUUCGCCUUUUCUCCGCUGGUUUUGAUAAAUAUGAGAGCAAGUUAGGGAAGAAUUUAAGCAGUGCAUCUUCAACUAGGCUCUACUUACGUCUUGGGAUUUCGAUAGUUUCUCCAUUCAUCAGGUGCACAUACAUUCUCUGAAUGUCCUGGUCGUGAAAAUGCAAAGAGCAUACUCUGUUCAUGGCUGUGAUGUUCUUGUCGGUGUUGGGUAUGGCCCGGUUUCACGCCGAACGUUGUUUCUUGUCGCUUGGAGUGACGAAGAAACAGCAGACCGACCGGCUUGUGUCGUUUCGGUACCCGCUCGUACAACCGCUUAUACAACACGUUGGCAUUACUUCGUCAGCUUAGAUGCUCACACAACACUUCAUCGCAUUCGCUGUCAUCACACCAGCUACGAAACACCAGAAAAGUUCCGAACACAUGACAACGUAAGAAAGAAUACACGCAGUUUUAGUGGAGACAAGACGCGGGACAAAGCGUGGGCGGGUGGGCGUGGGUGGGAGUCUGAUGCGAUUGCUGUGCCAGUCGAAGCGGAAGCGGUAGUGGUUCCGCGCAACGCGGCGCAGUUUGUAAACUCAACCUAGUCUAGUAACAUUGGCAAAACUCAUUCAUUGAUCACUGCGUCUCGUUUCUGCUAUCUUGUUAAUACUGUUUCUAGACAUUGUGCAUGAGCGCUCCGUCAUGGGUGGCUGACAUGCCGCGCGAAAUGCUGCCAGCCUUCUGGUGGCAGCGCUGCUUGUUUGUAAAUAUACUCGCUUAUGUUUCCCGUGUACUUGUGAUUCCCGUUACAAUUUGGUUGAGCUGUGGGGUAAAGGAGUGCUGUACAUUGAAGCUGCACAGUGGUCGUCGACUCGUAGUUUUUAUGAUGAAAAAUGACCCUAAAAUGCUGGCAGUGUCUUGUGCGGCAUGUCUGCUUCUUCCUCUAUUUGUCUGCAAUGGUGGGCUCAUGCACAGUGGCUUAUAACAAUAACUUCAUUGCUUGGGUUGUUGUAUUAAUUGACGAGAACAUUACACAACACUACUUUUCCAGAAUGGCCACACUUUAUUCAACCUGUUUUGUUCUGUAGAUGCACAGACAAAGCUGGCAGGCCUGCCCAGCACCUUUUCAUUCCUGCUCGCAUGAUCUCAGUCCUGAUCACGAUAAGCAACACUCGCAUUUACUGCUGCGCCUAUUCAUUAGGCUUCUCAAACCUAACUUAAUGCUGUUUCACUGCGUGUUUACUAUCAAAGUUAUGGUUUAGUGCUGAAUUGUAUUAGAUAAAUAGAUGAAUCAUUAGAUAAAUAGCCAUCAUUGUUAACGAUGUAGUGCGCGGAUUUGUUGGAGGAGCCAAGGUAGGCACAUGUCUGAAAAAUGUGUGCUCUACUUUCACGAGAUGUGCACAUUUUUUGCAUUUUUUGGGGGUCUGUUGUAACUAGGGUGUCAAUCAGACACCAUGAAAUAUGCAUUAUAUAUAUUUCCCUACGAAGUCUGAAUAAAACUAAAAAAUUAUACUUCAUUGAGACACAGGUGACAUGCACACGUCUUAAGGAUAGUGUAUAUCACCUUUACCCCUCUGCUUCCACCUGAACAGGGAGUUUCACAUCACAUUUGCCACCAGUCUUAUGAAAAGCACCUUUUCAGGUGUACGUGUAUUUGAAUACUGUUAUGUUCAUUCAAAUAUUCAAACAGCUCAAAUGUUCACACGAGUCUUUGCUCAUGUGAUGCUAAGCCACUGAAUUGUAAUGAUGAUGGCACAUAUUUUUGUUCAUUGUCAGGGUUGAUCACAAUAGGAGGACCAUGCCAUUGUUAUUUUAGUUACUUCAACAUUUCCUAUUGUGGGUUGAGCAUCCCCUGGGGCACACAUGGUUAUGUCCAUGGUUAACUCUCACAUGGUUAUGUCUUUAUAUGUUGUCGUGCUGCAAAGUUUCUUGCCUAAGUUAAACUGGCAUCAGGUAUUAAUUUAUAAAAUGUUUACGCUUUGAGUGGCUCACCCUGUACCUUAUAAAUUUAUUUACCAUUGUUUUACUGCCUUUUACUUCUCUUUGCCUGUUUACUUUGUUUAUUUCUGUUUACUUUUAAAAAGCAAAUUGUGCUACUUAAUUGUUAAAAAAUGUUUUUGUUGGGUGUGUCGGUUAAUUUGUUUUUAUUUCUUGUGUUUCCCAUGAAUAUGGGGCCAUUGUUAUCACUGUCACCUCACAGCUUUCAUGCUUCCAGAUCAUGACAGAGCAUAUGGGGUAUUUCAAUGAGUUGCUUAGUGGACCAGGUGACAUGGCUCUUGCCAUGAGUUAUUGUAUUGCUUGCCCUACAUUCAUACAAACAUGUGCACGAAACUUAUCAUACAGCUAUUUGCACCUUGUUGCUGUGUGCUUGCAGUCGAAUGAUAUUAAGCAGUUGAACAAUAUUUUACAUUUUUGACCAUUUAGUUCUAAUGCAGUAGAGCUUUAUUUAUGCUUCUUUAUAAAGAAGCAUCAGAUAAAACAUACCAUUGGGAAAAUGGACAAUCUGCAGUUGCUGUAAAAAAUGCUGAAGUUUCGUCCGAAAAGUGAUUCAUUGAUGGGGAUAACAAGGUAUUGAAUUGUCAUACGCAAGUCACUUCAAUUCAUUCACUGACCUUUGUCUCUGCUGUUCCAUCAUGCCAGCAAGUGUUCAAGUAAUAUCUGUUUGCAUUUGCCUCUGCUCACAUGAUGCUGUGCAUGUUAAUGUUCUUGUUAAGUUGAUUUUACUGAAAAAAAUAUUUUUAACCUUACGUUGUAUAUUUGUCUAAUGCAUUGUUACGUCACUAUCAGUCUUUUGCCUUUCAUGUGAAACUGGGAUCUUGUUCAUUCAUAUGAGGACUCUGCAUCCAGUAAAUGUAUCAUGCAAUUGCACUUAGUCGCUGUACUCAACAUUUGUGCCAAAAGAUUGUGUUUUCAAGAAACACAUGAGCUCAUAAAAAAAGAUUUAAGGCUGUAGAAAUUACCUUUUUUGUAAUGUUAAUGGGAACAAAAUAACGAGGCUCAUCUGUACAUAAUCUGUUAUAUGCAGACCAUGCUUGUUUUUUUGUAUUAUUUUAUUAUGUGGAACCACUGCUUCAGAGUUGCAGCUGCUUUCACCGUCAAGGUUAUUGGCUUGUUGGGCUUAUUCCUAAUCUUAUUUAGAUGGGCACUGGAGUUCUAAUAAAAGAGAGCUGCAAAAUCAAA